Molecule: ribosomal RNA, 449 nt
Filed under: uncultured bacterium
Lineage: Bacteria
Description: partial 16S ribosomal RNA
Rfam family: Bacterial small subunit ribosomal RNA
Source: RNAcentral
AACGAACGCUGGCGGCAGGCCUAAAACAUGCAAGUCGAACGCCCUAGCAAUAGGGAGUGGCGCACGGGUGAGUAACGCGUGGGAACGUGCCCUUCAGUACGGGACAACGUCGGGAAACUGACGCUAAUACCGUAUAAUAUCUCCGGAUCAAAGAUUUAUCGCUGAGGGAGCGGCCCGCGUCUGAUUAGCUAGUUGGUGAGGUAAUGGCUCACCAAGGCUACGAUCAGUAGCAGGUCUGAGAGGAUGAUCUGCCACACUGGGACUGAGACACGGCCCAGACUCCUACGGGAGGCGGCAGUUAGGAAUAUUGGACAAUGGGCGAAAGCCUGAUCCAGCCAUGCCGCGUGUGUGAUGAAGGCCUUAGGGUUGUAAAGCACUUUCAUUGGGGAUGAUAAUGACCGUACCCAAAGAAGAAGCCACGGCUAAAUUCGUGCCAGCCGCCGCCGUAA